RNAcentral lists this ribosomal RNA (508 nucleotides) under Penicillium polonicum. Its description in RNAcentral is "eukaryotic LSU rRNA". The stretch from base 143 to 295 matches the Rfam family "5.8S ribosomal RNA". Lineage: Eukaryota; Fungi; Ascomycota; Eurotiomycetes; Eurotiales; Aspergillaceae. The record is from RNAcentral.
CGUGUUUAUUUUACCUUGUUGCUUCGGCGGGCCCGCCUUUACUGGCCGCCGGGGGGCUCACGCCCCCGGGCCCGCGCCCGCCGAAGACACCCCCGAACUCUGUCUGAAGAUUGAAGUCUGAGUGAAAAUAUAAAUUAUUUAAAACUUUCAACAACGGAUCUCUUGGUUCCGGCAUCGAUGAAGAACGCAGCGAAAUGCGAUACGUAAUGUGAAUUGCAAAUUCAGUGAAUCAUCGAGUCUUUGAACGCACAUUGCGCCCCCUGGUAUUCCGGGGGGCAUGCCUGUCCGAGCGUCAUUGCUGCCCUCAAGCCCGGCUUGUGUGUUGGGCCCCGUCCUCCGAUUCCGGGGGACGGGCCCGAAAGGCAGCGGCGGCACCGCGUCCGGUCCUCGAGCGUAUGGGGCUUUGUCACCCGCUCUGUAGGCCCGGCCGGCGCUUGCCGAUCAACCCAAAUUUUUAUCCAGGUUGACCUCGGAUCAGGUAGGGAUACCCGCUGAACUUAAGCAUAUC